RNAcentral lists this long non-coding RNA (998 nucleotides) under Homo sapiens (human). RNAcentral describes it as "HSALNT0301430". The record is from RNAcentral. Lineage: Eukaryota; Metazoa; Chordata; Mammalia; Primates; Hominidae.
UCCUUUCUACCUUUCUGCCUCUCUCAGUAAAGGCUGUUAUUAAGUAACAAAUUCGGGUGGGUCAAGGGCAGAGUAACCAAGAGAUCUCAGCAAGCAUGAGGGAGAUUCAAGGAGCUGGCAUUGUGUGACUGGGGACAGAAAAGCCCUCAUGCAGGCAGGCGGGUCACAAUUGUUCCCUUCAGAUUUCUGAGGGGCUGCCUUGGUGGGAGAGGGGGUAGUUCAGUUCUGUGGGGCUCCAGGGGGCAAAAGGCAUGAUAAAUGAGUAGAAGUCAUGGAGAGGUGGAGCUUGCCUCCAGACAGAAUGCUAAGAAGGAUGCUGCUGCACAGUGGGGACUGAGCCAACUCACUGUUCAACAAAUAAGCAUUGGAGGGUCUCUAGUUCCAUAGAAAGAAGGCAAAUGAAGAGGACAGAAGAAGGAGAGAGACCUUCCCACCCCAUCAGCCCUAUGCUGCAGAGAGGGAUCCCACAUCUACUUCUCUUGCAGAAACCAACUGGUGGAAGUGACCUUCUCAUGGAGUGUCCUUCACAACUCCUACUCAGUCAGCACACUGGAAGACUUCAAAACUUAUUUGCUGAACAAAAGGGGAGUGGGCUCAAUCCUCUAACUCUUUACCACUCAAAAUGUGGUCCAGGGACCAGCUGUAGCCUCAUCACCUAUGAAUCUGUAAAAUGUGUGGAAUCUCAGGCCUUGCCCCAACCCACUGAAUCAGAAUCUGCAUUUUUAAGAGGCUCCCCUAGUGACUCCUGUGCACCUUAAAUCUGGAGAAGCACUGUUCUAACCAACCCCCUUCUUGGGCUGUAGCCAGUUAUUUCAUUGGCUGGAUGGCCAAAUCGCGCUGUGGGUAGGUCAAUCAAUCCUGCAACAUUUGGCAAUUAUGACACCUGAUUCCACUCUAAGAGAGACAAAUUGGUACAGUCAUGGAGCUGUGACCUCAGCAGCAGCUGUGGGAGCUGCCAAGUAUAAACUCCAGGCCAAAUGACACUACUUCUUUUCCUU